Molecule: ribosomal RNA, 253 nt
Filed under: uncultured bacterium
Lineage: Bacteria
Description: partial 16S ribosomal RNA
Rfam family: Bacterial small subunit ribosomal RNA
Source: RNAcentral
UACGUAGGGUGCAAGCGUUGUCCGGAAUUAUUGGGCGUAAAGAGCUCGUAGGCGGUCUGUCGCGUCUGGUGUGAAAAUCCAGGGCUUAACCCUGGACCUGCAUCGGGUACGGGCAGACUAGAGUGCGGUAGGGGAGAUCGGAAUUCCUGGUGUAGCGGUGAAAUGCGCAGAUAUCAGGAGGAACACCGGUGGCGAAGGCGGAUCUCUGGGCCACUACUGACGCUGAGAAGCGAAAGCAUGGGGAGCGAACAGG